This 274-nucleotide ribosomal RNA is filed under the name uncultured bacterium. RNAcentral describes it as "partial 16S ribosomal RNA". It matches the Rfam family "Bacterial small subunit ribosomal RNA", at positions 523 to 796 of the family's 1533-position model. The record is from RNAcentral.
AUACGGAGGGUGCAAGCGUUGUUCGGAAUCACUGGGCGUAAAGGGCGCGCAGGCGGUUUGGUAAGUCAGAUGUGAAAGCCCACGGCUCAACCGAGGAAGUGCAUUUGAAACUGUCAGACUUGAGUACUAGAGGGGAAAGUGGAAUUCCCGGUGUAGAGGUGAAAUUCGUAGAUAUCGGGAGGAAUACCGGUGGCGAAGGCGACUUUCUGGCUAGAUACUGACGCUGAGGCGCGAAAGCGUGGGGAGCAAACAGGAUUAGAAACCCUAGUAGUCC